GGCCCGGUGGUGGAUGGUCCGCACCUGCAAACUGUGCACAUUUUUCUCCAGUUCGUAUAUAAGCAGGAUAUGCUCGUUCGAAUCGAGCCCGGGCCA
Molecule: non-coding RNA, 96 nt
Organism: Mycena galericulata
Lineage: Eukaryota; Fungi; Basidiomycota; Agaricomycetes; Agaricales; Mycenaceae
Source: the annotation of a GenBank genome assembly